AUAGGCACAGUCCCAGGGAUGGUCAGAAGGCCCCUGGAGUUCACCAUCAGAAUGGCCUUCCCCACUGCCAGCUCGUUUCAGCCAACCCUGGAAGCUGGAGCCACCACUUUAUGUCUCAUGAUGCAAGAGAGGAAACCCACUCAAUUCCCAGCCUCCAAACUGCGUGGGGGAUUCCCAAGACCCUUUUGGCUUGCAGAAAUAUCCUCCAAGGAUGAGUAGAGCAGCCUUCUCCCCCAAAUCCUAUCACUUCCCUUCCCAACAGCCUGAACUUUUUAGGGGAGUGAAGGCAGGAACAUUUCCAGUCACCUAUUAAAACUGUGGUCACGGAGGUCUGACAACGUAAACACCUGGACCUUGACAUCAACAGCAAAUCCGGCUCGUCCAGGAGACCUCAAGGGUUUCAUUUGACUCCAGAUGUGGAUCAGGGCUAGUGGGACCAGCGUUGACGCGUCCCUAUGAGUGGGAAGAACACAUCCCUUUUCGAGCACUUCAUAGCCUGGGCUUGUGCAGAGUAAAGGGAAAGACCAGAGAGCCCCAUGGUGUAUCAUGCCCUGAAGCCCACUGCAUUUGAAGACCAUAAAAUAUGCAGCAAGCCCAUUUGUGUUGCCUUUCUCCUCCUUGAUCAUCAUGAAAUAAAUUGUUGCAAAAGGAAAAUACCUAAGUCCCUGAAAUCCCUCUCAAUGUAGGGUGAGUGAGAUUUGAAGAAAACUGUUCAAUUACUCUGACGUUCUCAUUUUAGAAACAAGCCACAAAGCUGUGUUCAUAUAAUAGAACUACAGUGUCUACUGUUGGUGUAUAUUUGCAUAAUAAUUGCUACACAAAAUCAAACCUCGAGCUUCGUCUUUUGCAUUUGGCUUCUUCCCCCCCCCCCCCCCACAGCAUCAAAAAUAUUUUGUAUCUCUGCUUCUAAGGUCUUCUCUAGAGUUCAUCUUUCCACUCUGUCAUUCUCUCUUUUUCUCCUCAUCAAUGAAAGCUUUUUCUCCUGAAGCUAGAAAUCCAGUCGAACUAUUAAAUCCGGAGCGUGUAGGACUUCCGUUAUUUACCAAGAGGGUAUUAUCAUCAGGCAGAGAUCUUCAGAUUCAACUUUAGCUGUGCCUGUCACCGGCAACAAAAGAGAUAUGGGGUAUGUACAAGGGAAGCAGCAUCAGGGAUCUUUUUUGUCGGAGUUUUUUGAUAAAGGGACUACCGUAAUGUCCUUCAGACAGGGUCCUUCCCUGUUAUCUGCCCAUUUUUGCUGUCUUUUUCUCCCACUACACUGCCCCAGCACUCCACAGAGCCAGUCAAUUUCUGUAAUUCCAAAGGAAGAAAAA
Long non-coding RNA from Herpailurus yagouaroundi (jaguarundi), 1310 nucleotides. RefSeq lists it as uncharacterized. Lineage: Eukaryota; Metazoa; Chordata; Mammalia; Carnivora; Felidae. The record is from RefSeq and is a predicted model, not a curated record. The transcript is spliced from 2 exons.